AUGCCCUCUUCCUCCUCGUUCGUGUCGGCGGAGGCGGAGACGAGGAACUGGGCGGAGCUGCCGCUGGACGCGAUCUCAUCCAUCCUCCACAAGCUCGGCCAUGUCGACAUCCUGAUGGGGCCCGGCCAGGCGUGCCGCUCCUGGCGCGGCGCCGCCCGCGACGAGCCCGAGCUGUGGCGCCGCAUAAACAUGCUAGGCCACGCCGAUCUCUCCCGCCAGCUCAACCUCCACGGGAUGGCGCAGGCCGCCGUCCGCCGCAGCGCGGGUAGGUGUGAGGCGUUCUGGUGUGAGCACGCCGGCGGCCACGGCUUCCUCCUCCGCCUCACCGACCAGGCACCAUCUCUCAAGAGUCUUCACCUCGUUUCAUGCUAUACAUCUAGUGAUGAAGCACUUACGGAGGCGAUAGUGAAAUUCCAUUUGCUUGAGGAGCUCGAGCUUGCAUUGUGUUCAAAUGUGGGUGGGAGUGGCGUGUUGGGGGUUGUUGGCAAAGCAUGCCCACAACUGAAGAGCUUCAGACUGAUUAAGGAUGUGUUGUAUGAUUCUGAAGCUAGUGACUACGACAAGGAUGAUGAAGCCAUGGGGAUUGCAACCAUGCGUGGGCUAUGCUCUUUGCAGCUGUUUGGCAAUGGCCUGACAAAUAAAGGACUGACAGCUAUCCUGGAUAAUUGCUGCCACCUGGAGUUCCUUGACAUUCGUCACUGCUUUAACGUCUACAUGGACAACACCCUGCGCACAAAGUGUGCUAGGAUAAGCACACUUUGGCUCAUCCUGCCAAAAUUGGGUGAUGUCGGCAUGAGAGAGCAAUUUAUUCGCCCACAAGCAUCUGAUAGGGGAUUUCCAAGAAUAAUAUCUUCCUCAUCCAUGGAUGCUCGGGGUGAUCUUUCUGCCAUUGAGAAUCAGGUGCACAAGCUAAUCGAUGGUUUGAGAAGCGAUUCCAUAGAAGGUCAAAGAUCAGCGACAUCAGAGAUUCGCCUUCUAGCUAAGCACAACAUGGAGAACAGGAUUGUCAUUGCAGAUUGUGGGGCUAUAAACUUGCUGGUUGGUCUUCUUCAUUCACCAGAUGCCAAGAUCCAAGAAAAUGCAGUGACAUCCCUCCUCAAUCUGUCCAUCAGUGAUAACAAUAAGAUUGCCAUCAUGAAUGCAUAUGCUAUUGAUCCUCUCGUCCAUGUCCUGGAAACAGGGAACCCUGAAGCUAAAGAGAAUUCAGCUAUUGCAUUGUUUUAUUUAUCCAUACUUGAUGAGAACAAGGGUCGCAUUGUGCAAGCUAAUGCGGUGAAGCAACUAGUUGAGCUUAUGGAUCCUGCUCUUGGAAUGAUCGACAUAGCGGUAGCUGUCUUGGCAAAUCUUGCUACGAUACCAGAAGGGAGAACUGCGAUUGGGCAGGCGCGAGGUAUUCCAGCUCUUGUUGAAGUUGUCGAACUGGGUUCAGCGAGAGGGAAGGAAAAUGUUGUUGCAGCAUUGCUUCAGCUAUGCAAAAACAGUAACAGAUCUUGCAGCAUAGUUCUUCGAGAGGGUGUUUUGCCCCCUUUAGUCACACUGUCACGGUCAGGAACACCACGAGCAAGAGAGAAGGUUUUCUACUUCCGAUAA
Molecule: ribosomal RNA, 1590 nt
Filed under: Triticum aestivum (bread wheat)
Lineage: Eukaryota; Viridiplantae; Streptophyta; Magnoliopsida; Poales; Poaceae
Description: partial small subunit ribosomal RNA
Source: RNAcentral